UGGCGGACGGGUGAGUAAUGCGUGAGCAACCUGCCUUGGAGAGGGGGACAACAGCUGGAAACGGCUGCUAAUACCGCAUGAAGUUACUGGGGGCAUCCUUUGGUAACCAAAGAUUUAUCGCUCUGAGAUGGGCUCACGUCUGAUUAGUUAGUUGGUAGGGUAACGGCCUACCAAGACCGCGAUCAGUAGCCGGACUGAGAGGUUGAACGGCCACAUUGGGACUGAGAUACGGCCCAGACUCCUACGGGAGGCAGCAG
Molecule: ribosomal RNA, 257 nt
Filed under: uncultured bacterium
Lineage: Bacteria
Description: partial 16S ribosomal RNA
Rfam family: Bacterial small subunit ribosomal RNA
Source: RNAcentral